UAAAUCUCGACGACUGAAGUGGCCCGUAAUCUCUCAUUACCAUUACCUACUUCCUAACUCACCAUAUGUCUUUCUCUUCAUAGGAGUAUCUCUUACACGCUUUAUCCUAGAAGUGAUCAAUAUUUUAUUCAUUCUUUUUCCAUUUGAAAAGAUGAUUUCUUGGCUUAGCAAAUAUUUCAUCAUCAUCCUCUUCACACUGAUUUUCCAUGGGCGUCUUGGAUUUUCAGACAACAAUAAACUCCACGAGGCUGAAGUGAGAGCACUAAAGGAGAUAGGGAAGAAGCUAGGGAAGAAAGACUGGGACUUCAACAAAGAUCCAUGUAGUGGUCAAGGCAACUGGGUGGUUACCACUUACACAUCCAAAGAGUUUGAGAGUAAUAUCACUUGCGAUUGCUCCUUUCUUCCUCUGAACUCAUCUUGCCAUGUCAUCAGAAUAGCUCUGAAGUCGCAGAACUUAACAGGCGUUGUCCCUCCUGAGUUCUCCAAGCUUCGUCACCUCAAAGUUUUAGACCUUAGCCGUAACUAUCUGACUGGUUCCAUUCCAAAGGAAUGGGCUUCUAUGCGCCUAGAAGAUUUAUCUUUCAUGGGGAACAGAUUGUCUGGUCCAUUCCCCAAAGUCCUAACUCGCCUUACAACGCUCAGAAACUUGAGUCUCGAAGGAAAUCUGUUUUCAGGACAAAUCCCUCCUGAGAUUAAAAGGAUGAUUCAUUUGGAGAGACUUCAUCUUACUUCAAAUGCUUUCACUGGCCCGUUGCCUGAAGAACUUGCACUUCUCCAGAACUUGACUGAUAUGAGGAUAAGUGACAAUAACUUCACUGGCCGGAUACCAGAUUUUAUCGGCAAUUGGACAAGUAUAAUGAAAUUGCAGUUGCAUGGUUCAGGUUUGGAUGGUCCGAUACCUUCUAGUAUUUCAGCCUUAACCAGCCUGACCGACCUGAGAAUUAGCGAUUUAGGAGGCAAACCGUCUCCUUUCCCUCCAUUGAAUAACCUGGACUCUAUCAAGACACUGAUACUGAGAAAAUGCAAUUUAAAUGGUGAAAUUCCAAAGUAUAUUGGGAAGCUGAAGAAGCUUAAAACACUUGACCUCAGCUUCAACCAGCUAACUGGUGAGAUUCCUUCAACGUUUGAAAAUAUGAAGAAAGCCGAUUUCAUUUAUUUGACAGGAAACAAGCUGACAGGAGCUAUUCCAAGCUACUUCGUUAAUAAAAACAAAAACGUUGAUGUUUCUUACAACAACUUCACCGAUGCAAGUACAAUUACCGGGAGUAAAUGCAGCGAUGUUACCUCUAAUUGGGUGGAAGGCUUCUCCACGGGGAAUAAAUCACGCAAGGAAUCAUCAUGUUACCUUCAUCACAUCCCUUGUCGUCUUCCUAAGAGAGAUCAUAAGUAUAAUUUGUACAUAAACUGUGGAGGAGGAGAACUUAAAGUGGAUAAAGGAACAACAUAUGAAGCUGACCAAAACUCCAAAGGUCCUUCUAUGUUCUUCAGUGUCAAUCACUGGGCGUAUAGCAGCACUGGGAACUUCAUGGACAAUGAUGAUGAUGCUGAUGAUUACAUUGUACAGAACACAUCCAGAUUAUCAAUUAAUGCUUCCUCUCUCAGCUCUGGACUUUACCGGACAGCUAGAGUCUCUCCGUCAUCGCUAACUUACUAUGGACUCUGCCUUGGAAAUGGUAACUACACUGUACACCUCCACUUGGCUGAGAUCAUCUUUACCGAUGACAAGACUCUUUACAGCCUCGGCGAACGUUUGUUCGAUAUUUAUCUUCAGGAUAAGUUGGUCAUUAAGAACUUCAACAUUCAAGAAGCAGCUGGUGGAUCCGGUAAGCCAGUCAUAAAAUCCUUUCCGGUAAAUGUAACGGACCACAAUGUGAAGAUUGGCUUGCGGUGGGCUGGGAAAGGGACAACAGGCAUUCCAAUUAGAGGAGUUUAUGGUCCUAUGAUAUCAGCUAUAUCAGUGGAACCAAAUUUCAAACCUCCGGUGUAUCAUGACAAAAAAGAGAUCAUACUAAAAGCUGGGAUACCUGUUGCAGCAGCACUUCUUUUAUUGCUCAUAUUUGGUAUAUUCUUAAAGAAAAGACGUGACAAAAAUGCUAUUGACAAAGAGCUAAGGAAUUUAGAUCUUCAAACCGGAAGUUUCACUCUGCGACAGAUAAAAGCAGCCACUGAUAAUUUCGAUGCAACAUUGAAGAUUGGUGAAGGUGGAUUUGGCUCUGUUUACAAGGGUGUAUUGUCAGAAGGAAAACUGAUUGCAGUCAAGCAAUUGUCUGCAAAAUCAAGGCAGGGAAACCGCGAGUUUGUAAAUGAGAUAGGAAUGAUCUCAGCUCUACAACAUCCAAAUCUUGUGAAGCUAUAUGGUUGCUGUGUUGAAGGAAACCAGUUGAUAUUGGUGUAUGAGUAUUUGGAGAACAACUGUCUAUCUCGUGCUCUCUUUGGAAAGGAUGUGAAUGCUAGGCUGAAACUAGACUGGUCAACGAGGAAGAAGAUUUGUUUGGGGAUAGCUAAAGGACUUACAUUUCUCCACGAAGAAUCUAGGAUAAAGAUUGUACACAGAGAUAUAAAGGCGAGCAACGUGUUACUCGAUAAGGAUCUCAACGCCAAGAUCUCCGACUUUGGUUUGGCGAAGCUGAACGAUGAUGGAAACACUCACAUCAGCACUCGUAUUGCAGGAACUGUAGGUUAUAUGGCUCCAGAAUACGCCAUGCGUGGUUACUUGACUGAGAAAGCAGAUGUUUAUAGCUUUGGCGUCGUUGCACUCGAGAUCGUAAGUGGGAAGAGUAACACAAACUUUAGGCCAAGCGAGGAGUUCGUUUACCUUCUUGAUUGGGCUUACGUUUUGCAAGAGAAGGGAUGUUUACUAGAGCUGGUUGAUCCGACGUUAGCCUCUGAUUACUCAGAAGAAGAAGCCAUGCUGAUGUUGAACGUGGCGUUGAUGUGCACCAACGCGUCACCGACGCUGAGACCUACGAUGUCUCAAGUGGUGAGUCUGUUAGAGGGAAAGACAGCGAUGCAAGAGUUGCUGUCGGAUCCUAGCUUCUCAACGGUUAACCCGAAGCUUAAAGCAUUGAGGAACCAUUUUUGGCAGAACGAGCUUAGCCGAACGCUUAGCUUCUCUACUACAAGCGGGCCUCAUACUGCCUCCGUCAAUUCACAACUUGAUGCUGAGGAGAAGACUGGACUUUUGGAUUAAUUAACUUCUUAUUAUGUUCCAAUUUCUAAGUGAGAGGUUUGUAGGAGUGGUGAAGUUUUUAUUUAUACUUUUUAAGUGUAUAUAUAAUCAAAGACAUAAUAUCUCCAAACCGUAAAAAUGUUCUGACCUUAAAGUUUUCCAGGUGGAUUCAGUAAAUUUGGAUUUUGUACAAAUCAAUCUUCAUUGGUAAAUUAUAUAUAAGAUUUCCGGUGA
This is an RNA transcript of Brassica oleracea var. oleracea, 3403 nucleotides long. It is a transcript of the gene named probable LRR receptor-like serine/threonine-protein kinase At1g07650, with no coding region annotated. Lineage: Eukaryota; Viridiplantae; Streptophyta; Magnoliopsida; Brassicales; Brassicaceae. The record is from RefSeq and is a predicted model, not a curated record. The transcript is spliced from 25 exons.